Molecule: ribosomal RNA, 427 nt
Filed under: uncultured prokaryote
Description: bacterial SSU rRNA
Rfam family: Bacterial small subunit ribosomal RNA
Source: RNAcentral
UAGGGAAUCUUCGGCAAUGGGCGAAAGCCUGACCGAGCAACGCCGCGUGAAUGAUGAAGACCUUCGGGUUGUAAAAUUCUGUUAUAAGGGAAGAACGACUUUAGUAGGAAAUGGCUAGAGUGUGACGGUACCUUAUGAGAAAGCCACGGCUAACUACGUGCCAGCAGCCGCGGUAAUACGUAGGUGGCGAGCGUUAUCCGGAAUUAUUGGGCGUAAAGAGCGCGCAGGUGGUUGAUUAAGUCUGAUGUGAAAGCCCACGGCUUAACCGUGGAGGGUCAUUGGAAACUGGUCGACUUGAGUGCAGAAGAGGGAAGUGGAAUUCCACGUGUAGCGGUGAAAUGCGUAGAGAUGUGGAGGAACACCAGUGGCGAAGGCGACUCUCUGGUCUGUAACUGACGCUGAGGAGCGAAAGCGUGGGGAGCGAACA